Molecule: ribosomal RNA, 897 nt
Filed under: Xiphinema brevicolle
Lineage: Eukaryota; Metazoa; Nematoda; Enoplea; Dorylaimida; Longidoridae
Description: partial small subunit ribosomal RNA
Rfam family: Eukaryotic small subunit ribosomal RNA (bases 1-193)
Source: RNAcentral
UUGAUUACGUCCCUGCCCUUUGUACACACCGCCCGUCGCUACUACCGAUUGGAUGACUUAGUGAGGUCUUAGGACCGACGUAAAGGAGCUUUCGCGAGUUCUUUUUCGUUGGAAAUUUGAUCGAACUACGUUAUCUAGAGGAAGUAAAAGUCGUAACAAGGUUUCCGUAGGUGAACCUGCGGAAGGAUCAUUACCAAGCUAGAAUAAAAACUGACUGCGAUAGAAUAUUCGCUAGUUGUGAAAAGUCGCGUCCGAAUACUACGUACGUACGUAAUGAAUGUGCGUGUGGUUGACGACGACAACUGGGACUACGACCGGGAAAAUGGGCCGGGCGCCGUUGCGCGAAAGCCUCGGUCGGUAGUCUCUAAAUUCCAGGGUCGCCUUGUGUGUGUCGAUCGUUGCAGACGCGUCGGUUGUAGCGGAGUUGGGAUACCUACCCGCGGUCUCUGCCGAUUUACGAUCGUUUUACACACUCGCGCACGAUCUCUGAGCGAAGUACUAUUAUCAGACGUUCGGGAUCGAGUCGGUCGUAAAGUAUGUGUUAUCCGGCUCGAUUCUUCUUCGGGUACCUAUCGAAGCUAACGCCUGCGGUUCCGUCUGGCUGUAGCGGAUUAGCGUUAGUUUCGAGGACCCCUUCCUUAGGGAAGGGGCAGAUUUAAAGAGUCGCUGGCUCUCGUCGAAUAUCGUAGAGCGAUCUCGCUUCGAACCCGCGAAAUUUUCGAACCUCGCGCCUAGAGUAAUAAACGGUGUGGUGGUCGUUCGAAGGGGUUCGUCGUUCGGGAUUCUGGGCGCGGUAAAGUUUCGCCCGGGUGACCGCCCGAAACAAAAAUAUCCUCAAAUAUUGUCGUUAUAAGAAAGAAAAAAAAAGAAUCUAAUAGAUUCCAUUCUAAGCGGUGG